This 163-nucleotide ribosomal RNA is filed under the name uncultured bacterium. RNAcentral describes it as "partial 16S rRNA". It matches the Rfam family "Bacterial small subunit ribosomal RNA", at positions 355 to 511 of the family's 1533-position model. The record is from RNAcentral.
UAGGGAAUCUUCCACAAUGGACGAAAGUCUGAUGGGGCAACGCCGCGUGAGUGAAGAAGGGUUUCGGCUCGUAAACUCUGUUGUUAAAGAAGAACAUAUCUGAGAGUAACUGUUCAGGUAUUGACGGUAUUUAACCAGAAAGCCACGGCUAACUACGUGCCAG